This 366-nucleotide unclassified non-coding RNA is filed under the name uncultured bacterium. RNAcentral's name for it is "contains 16S-23S intergenic spacer region". The record is from RNAcentral.
UCCGGGUUUCGCCCGGCAGUCUCCCUAGAACAUUCAACUAAGGACAGGGGUUUCGCUCGUUAAGGAACUUAACCCGACAUCUCACGACACGAGCUGACGACAGCCAUGCAGCAGCUGUGCACGUUUCACCGAAGCAGACGAACGAGUUUCCCCGCCGUCAUCCGUGCAUGUCAAGCCUAGGUAAGGUUCUUCGCGUUGCGUCGAAUUAAACCACAUGCUCCACCGCUUGUGCGGGCCCCCGUCAAUUCCUUUGAGUUUCAACCUUGCGGUCGUACUCCCCAGGCGGGGUACUUCCUGCGUUAGCGCCGGCACCCAGAGGGUCGCUCCCCCAGGCACCUAGUACCCAUCGUUUACGGCGUGGACUAC